Molecule: ribosomal RNA, 1476 nt
Filed under: Lacticaseibacillus rhamnosus
Lineage: Bacteria; Bacillati; Bacillota; Bacilli; Lactobacillales; Lactobacillaceae
Description: bacterial SSU rRNA
Rfam family: Bacterial small subunit ribosomal RNA
Source: RNAcentral
GCGCUAGCUAGCAGUAGAUAUUGUUUGUCGAACGAGUUCUGAUUAUUGAAAGGUGCUUGCAUCUUGAUUUAAUUUUGAACGAGUGGCGGACGGGUGAGUAACACGUGGGUAACCUGCCCUUAAGUGGGGGAUAACAUUUGGAAACAGAUGCUAAUACCGCAUAAAUCCAAGAACCGCAUGGUUCUUGGCUGAAAGAUGGCGUAAGCUAUCGCUUUUGGAUGGACCCGCGGCGUAUUAGCUAGUUGGUGAGGUAACGGCUCACCAAGGCAAUGAUACGUAGCCGAACUGAGAGGUUGAUCGGCCACAUUGGGACUGAGACACGGCCCAAACUCCUACGGGAGGCAGCAGUAGGGAAUCUUCCACAAUGGACGCAAGUCUGAUGGAGCAACGCCGCGUGAGUGAAGAAGGCUUUCGGGUCGUAAAACUCUGUUGUUGGAGAAGAAUGGUCGGCAGAGUAACUGUUGUCGGCGUGACGGUAUCCAACCAGAAAGCCACGGCUAACUACGUGCCAGCAGCCGCGGUAAUACGUAGGUGGCAAGCGUUAUCCGGAUUUAUUGGGCGUAAAGCGAGCGCAGGCGGUUUUUUAAGUCUGAUGUGAAAGCCCUCGGCUUAACCGAGGAAGUGCAUCGGAAACUGGGAAACUUGAGUGCAGAAGAGGACAGUGGAACUCCAUGUGUAGCGGUGAAAUGCGUAGAUAUAUGGAAGAACACCAGUGGCGAAGGCGGCUGUCUGGUCUGUAACUGACGCUGAGGCUCGAAAGCAUGGGUAGCGAACAGGAUUAGAUACCCUGGUAGUCCAUGCCGUAAACGAUGAAUGCUAGGUGUUGGAGGGUUUCCGCCCUUCAGUGCCGCAGCUAACGCAUUAAGCAUUCCGCCUGGGGAGUACGACCGCAAGGUUGAAACUCAAAGGAAUUGACGGGGGCCCGCACAAGCGGUGGAGCAUGUGGUUUAAUUCGAAGCAACGCGAAGAACCUUACCAGGUCUUGACAUCUUUUGAUCACCUGAGAGAUCAGGUUUCCCCUUCGGGGGCAAAAUGACAGGUGGUGCAUGGUUGUCGUCAGCUCGUGUCGUGAGAUGUUGGGUUAAGUCCCGCAACGAGCGCAACCCUUAUGACUAGUUGCCAGCAUUUAGUUGGGCACUCUAGUAAGACUGCCGGUGACAAACCGGAGGAAGGUGGGGAUGACGUCAAAUCAUCAUGCCCCUUAUGACCUGGGCUACACACGUGCUACAAUGGAUGGUACAACGAGUUGCGAGACCGCGAGGUCAAGCUAAUCUCUUAAAGCCAUUCUCAGUUCGGACUGUAGGCUGCAACUCGCCUACACGAAGUCGGAAUCGCUAGUAAUCGCGGAUCAGCACGCCGCGGUGAAUACGUUCCCGGGCCUUGUACACACCGCCCGUCACACCAUGAGAGUAGUAACACCUGAAGCCGGUGGUGUCUCCCUAAGUCGAACAAGGUAGCUCGUAGAGAGCCGUGCGC